This 202-nucleotide unclassified non-coding RNA is filed under the name Hevea brasiliensis (rubber tree). The record is from RNAcentral. Lineage: Eukaryota; Viridiplantae; Streptophyta; Magnoliopsida; Malpighiales; Euphorbiaceae.
AGUUGAGUUGAGUUGUAUAAAAUACAUGGAGCCCUCUUCAAUACCCAUGAAUUUUUUACCCAAGACUUGCACUGCUGCAGAAGGCACAGGCUAUUGAAAGCAAAACAUGUAACAGAAAGGAAAAGUUGGUAAGCAAAUCAUAAGGAUUACCGUUGAGUAAAGUAACAGGAAGAACUUACCACAUCUCUCCAUUUCUUAAUUG